CAGAAAGCAUCUAACCUUCAUUCGACAUCGGUUUGUCAUAAUUCUACCCAUGUGGGGAAGGAUGAGAAGCUUCGACUAAGGUUCGAUUCGAGCGCAGCGAGAAAGCGUUGCCAACGGCAACGGCCCGAAGGGCGAAGCGCGCAGCGCUGAGUCAUCCUUCCCCCACCACCA
This 171-nucleotide small RNA is filed under the name Salmonella enterica subsp. enterica serovar Agona str. SL483. RNAcentral's name for it is "RtT RNA". The stretch from base 41 to 171 matches the Rfam family "RtT RNA". Rfam says of the family: This family represents a bacterial cis-regulatory element known as RtT RNA. The exact function of RtT is unknown although it is thought that it may be involved in changing the cellular response in relation to amino acid starvation. The record is from RNAcentral. Lineage: Bacteria; Pseudomonadati; Pseudomonadota; Gammaproteobacteria; Enterobacterales; Enterobacteriaceae.